RNAcentral lists this ribosomal RNA (497 nucleotides) under uncultured bacterium. RNAcentral describes it as "partial 16S ribosomal RNA". It matches the Rfam family "Bacterial small subunit ribosomal RNA", at positions 28 to 507 of the family's 1533-position model. The record is from RNAcentral.
GAUGAACGCUGGCGGCGUGCCUAAUACAUGCAAGUCGAGCGAACAGACGAGGAGCUUGCUCCUCUGACGUUAGCGGCGGACGGGUGAGUAACACGUGGAUAACCUACCUAUAAGACUGGGAUAACUUCGGGAAACCGGAGCUAAUACCGGAUAAUAUAUUGAACCGCAUGGUUCAAUAGAGAAAGACGGUUUUGCUGUCACUUAUAGAUGGAUCCGCGCCGCAUUAGCUAGUUGGUAUGGUAACGGCUUACCAAGGCAACGAUGCGUAGCCGACCUGAGAGGGUGAUCGGCCACACUGGAACUGAGACACGGUCCAGACUCCUACGGGAGGCAGCAGUAGGGAAUCUUCCGCAAUGGGCGAAAGCCUGACGGAGCAACGCCGCGUGAGUGAUGAAGGUCUUCGGAUCGUAAAACUCUGUUAUUAGGGAAGAACAAAUGUGUAAGUAACUAUGCACGUCUUGACGGUACCUAAUCAGAAAGCCACGGCUAACUACGUG